UUAAGCGACUAAGCGUACACGGUGGAUGCCCUGGCAGUCAGAGGCGAUGAAGGACGUGCUAAUCUGCGAAAAGCGUCGGUAAGGUGAUAUGAACCGUUAUAGCCGGCGAUGUCCGAAUGGGGAAACCCAGUGCAAUUCGUUGCACUAUCGUUAACUGAAUACAUAGGUUAACGAGGCGAACCGGGGGAACUGAAACAUCUAAGUACCCCGAGGAAAAGAAAUCAACCGAGAUUCCCCCAGUAGCGGCGAGCGAACGGGGAGCAGCCCAGAGUCUGAAUCAGCUUGUGUGUUAGUGGAACGGUCUGGAAAGUCCGACGGUACAGGGUGAUAGUCCCGUACACCAAAAUGCACAGGUUGUGAACUCGAAGAGUAGGGCGGGACACGUGGUAUCCUGUCUGAAUAUGGGGGGACCAUCCUCCAAGGCUAAAUACUCCUGACUGACCGAUAGUGAACCAGUACCGUGAGGGAAAGGCGAAAAGAACCCCGGCGAGGGGAGUGAAAAAGAACCUGAAACCGUGUACGUACAAGCAGUGGGAGCCUCUUUAUGGGGUGACUGCGUACCUUUUGUAUAAUGGGUCAGCGACUUAUAUUCUGUAGCAAGGUUAACCGUAUAGGGGAGCCGCAGGGAAACCGAGUCUUAACUGGGCGUUAAGUUGCAGGGUAUAGACCCGAAACCCGGUGAUCUAGCCAUGGGCAGGUUGAAGGUUGGGUAACACUAACUGGAGGACCGAACCGACUAAUGUUGAAAAAUUAGCGGAUGACUUGUGGCUGGGGGUGAAAGGCCAAUCAAACCGGGAGAUAGCUGGUUCUCCCCGAAAGCUAUUUAGGUAGCGCCUCGUGAAUUCAUCUUCGGGGGUAGAGCACUGUUUCGGCUAGGGGGUCAUCCCGACUUACCAACCCGAUGCAAACUACGAAUACCGAAGAAUGUUAUCACGGGAGACACACGGCGGGUGCUAACGUCCGUCGUGAAGAGGGAAACAACCCAGACCGCCAGCUAAGGUCCCAAAGUCAUGGUUAAGUGGGAAACGAUGUGGGAAGGCACAGACAGCCAGGAUGUUGGCUUAGAAGCAGCCAUCAUUUAAAGAAAGCGUAAUAGCUCACUGGUCGAGUCGGCCUGCGCGGAAGAUGUAACGGGGCUAAACCAUGCACCGAAGCUGCGGCAGCGACACUUAUGUGUUGUUGGGUAGGGGAGCGUUCUGUAAGCCUGCGAAGGUGGCCUGUGAGGGCUGCUGGAGGUAUCAGAAGUGCGAAUGCUGACAUAAGUAACGAUAAAGCGGGUGAAAAGCCCGCUCGCCGGAAGACCAAGGGUUCCUGUCCAACGUUAAUCGGGGCAGGGUGAGUCGACCCCUAAGGCGAGGCCGAAAGGCGUAGUCGAUGGGAAACAGGUUAAUAUUCCUGUACUUGGUGUUACUGCGAAGGGGGGACGGAGAAGGCUAUGUUAGCCGGGCGACGGUUGUCCCGGUUUAAGCAUGUAGGCGGAGGUUCCAGGUAAAUCCGGUACCUUUUAACGCUGAGGUGUGAUGACGAGGCACUACGGUGCUGAAGUAACAAAUGCCCUGCUUCCAGGAAAAGCCUCUAAGCAUCAGGUAACAUUAAAUCGUACCCCAAACCGACACAGGUGGUCAGGUAGAGAAUACCAAGGCGCUUGAGAGAACUCGGGUGAAGGAACUAGGCAAAAUGGUGCCGUAACUUCGGGAGAAGGCACGCUGAUAUGUAGGUGAAGCCCCUGCGGGUGGAGCUGAAAUCAGUCGAAGAUACCAGCUGGCUGCAACUGUUUAUUAAAAACACAGCACUGUGCAAACACGAAAGUGGACGUAUACGGUGUGACGCCUGCCCGGUGCCGGAAGGUUAAUUGAUGGGGUUAUCCGUAAGGAGAAGCUCUUGAUCGAAGCCCCGGUAAACGGCGGCCGUAACUAUAACGGUCCUAAGGUAGCGAAAUUCCUUGUCGGGUAAGUUCCGACCUGCACGAAUGGCGUAAUGAUGGCCAGGCUGUCUCCACCCGAGACUCAGUGAAAUUGAACUCGCUGUGAAGAUGCAGUGUACCCGCGGCAAGACGGAAAGACCCCGUGAACCUUUACUAUAGCUUGACACUGAACAUUGAGCCUUGAUGUGUAGGAUAGGUGGGAGGCUUUGAAGCGUGGACGCCAGUCUGCGUGGAGCCAACCUUGAAAUACCACCCUUUAAUGUUUGAUGUUCUAACGUAGACCCCUAAUCGGGGUUGCGGACAGUGUCUGGUGGGUAGUUUGACUGGGGCGGUCUCCUCCCAAAGAGUAACGGAGGAGCACGAAGGUUAGCUAAUCCUGGUCGGACAUCAGGAGGUUAGUGCAAUGGCAUAAGCUAGCUUGACUGCGAGCGUGACGGCGCGAGCAGGUGCGAAAGCAGGUCAUAGUGAUCCGGUGGUUCUGAAUGGAAGGGCCAUCGCUCAACGGAUAAAAGGUACUCCGGGGAUAACAGGCUGAUACCGCCCAAGAGUUCAUAUCGACGGCGGUGUUUGGCACCUCGAUGUCGGCUCAUCACAUCCUGGGGCUGAAGUAGGUCCCAAGGGUAUGGCUGUUCGCCAUUUAAAGUGGUACGCGAGCUGGGUUUAGAACGUCGUGAGACAGUUCGGUCCCUAUCUGCCGUGGGCGCUGGAGAAUUGAGGGGGGCUGCUCCUAGUACGAGAGGACCGGAGUGGACGCAUCACUGGUGUUCGGGUUGUCAUGCCAAUGGCAUUGCCCGGUAGCUAAAUGCGGAAGAGAUAAGUGCUGAAAGCAUCUAAGCACGAAACUUGCCCCGAGAUGAGUUCUCCCUGAGACUUUAAGUCUCCUGAAGGAACGUUGAAGACGACGACGUUGAUAGGCCGGGUGUGUAAGCGCAGCGAUGCGUUGAGCUAACCGGUACUAAUGAACCGUGAGGCUUAACCU
RNAcentral lists this ribosomal RNA (2903 nucleotides) under Klebsiella variicola. RNAcentral's name for it is "23S ribosomal RNA". It matches the Rfam family "Bacterial large subunit ribosomal RNA". Lineage: Bacteria; Pseudomonadati; Pseudomonadota; Gammaproteobacteria; Enterobacterales; Enterobacteriaceae. The record is from RNAcentral.